This 248-nucleotide ribosomal RNA is filed under the name uncultured Actinomycetales bacterium. RNAcentral describes it as "partial 16S ribosomal RNA". It matches the Rfam family "Bacterial small subunit ribosomal RNA", at positions 85 to 334 of the family's 1533-position model. Lineage: Bacteria; Bacillati; Actinomycetota; Actinomycetes; Actinomycetales. The record is from RNAcentral.
GGGUGCUCGAGUGGCGAACGGGUGAGUAACACGUGAGUAACCUGCCCUUGACUUUGGGAUAACUUCAGGAAACUGGGGCUAAUACCGGGUAGGAGCUCCUGCUGCAUGGUGGGGGUUGGAAAGUUUCGGCGGUUGGGGAUGGACUCGCGGCUUAUCAGCUUGUUGGUGGGGUAGUGGCUUACCAAGGCUUUGACGGGUAGCCGGCCUGAGAGGGUGACCGGCCACAUUGGGACUGAGAUACGGCCCAG